Mauremys reevesii (Reeves's turtle) is the source of this 245-nucleotide long non-coding RNA. RefSeq lists it as uncharacterized. The transcript has 3 exons. Lineage: Eukaryota; Metazoa; Chordata; Testudines; Geoemydidae. The record is from RefSeq and is a predicted model, not a curated record.
UCAAAAAAUGGAAUCCACAAUCCAGAUCCAACCUAAGCAGGCCCUCUAAGUUUUUACACAGCUUUUGAAUGAAUCAUCUGGCAGUAGACUGGAGAAGAGGGUGUAGCUAGCACAGCUACGAACUGCCUCUGCAAACUGCUGCCAGGAAAUAGCCCAUAUGUAGCAGAAUUGUGGAAGAGACUGCUAUCAGAAAGAAAAUUACCAGCUGCAAAUUUUUCAAGCCUCCCUACUCAGUCCCGAAGGCU